This 1133-nucleotide long non-coding RNA is filed under the name Capra hircus (goat). RNAcentral's name for it is "lncRNA (ENSCHIG00000007468.1)". Lineage: Eukaryota; Metazoa; Chordata; Mammalia; Artiodactyla; Bovidae. The record is from RNAcentral.
UAGAAGGCCAAGGUUCACGGUUCUGUUUUUUAAUUGCAAUUCACUCUUUCCCACUUCUUCCAGGAGCUUCAGCUUUAUCAUUGCUGUGAGAUUUACAGCACUUCCUUCCAUCGUCAGCUUGCUAAUAGGCAGUGGUUGAACUCCCUGGAGUCUAAACUAGGAAAUAUGAGCAGUAUGUAACUGCUAUGGCUGGAAUCGCAUUCCACUUCAGAAGCUUCUUAACAGCAUUCUCAGAUGUGUGAAUAUACAUUAGUGACCCAAGGGGAUUACUCCCUGGCACCAAGUUUACCUUUAUGAGGGGCCUGGAUGAUGAGACCUUCCCUCCCAUAAGCAGAAGUGUCUGGAAAGCCCAGCUCUCAAGUAAGCAGCUGCCUUGCCUGUAUGUCCACAGCAUCAGUGACUGCCAAGAUGACCAAAGUUUCCUGAAAGGUGAAGAAAAUGCUUGAUUCUGGAGCACCCUUCUAAUAGCAAGCACUGAUGUUACCUGUGUCAUCUGAACUAAUUUCUGACUCAACAUUGCCUGGAUCCUUUUCAUCAAGUAAAGAUGAUGCAUCAUAGCGGAAAAGAGCAGGACUUUUGAGUCAUUCAAAUCUGGGUUUGAAAUCCUAAUUCUUUUACUUGUAAGCCUUGGGAUUUAGGCCUAUUACUUAACUGUUUUAUGCACAAUUUCCCAAUAGGAGAAAUGGGCUGCUAAUGUUGAACAUACAGAUUUUUUGUUAAUUUUAAUUGUGAGCAGUUUGACACAUAAUGUUGUUGUUCAGUUGCUCAGUCAUGUCUGACUCCUUGCAACCCCCAGGGCUGCAGCACACCAGGCUUCCCUGUCCUUCACCAUCUCCCGGAGCUUGUUCAAACUCAUGUCCACUGAGUUGGUAAUGCCGUCCAACCAUCUCAUCCCCUGUCGUCCCCUUCUCCUAUAGUAUCUCAAUUAUUUAUAGGCAUUGUUACCAUUACUCUAUUCAACAUCCAGCUCAGUCACACCAAAGAGCUGUUUGAAUAAAAGCCUUAUAACAAAUAAUGACAGAGGGAAAGCCUCUUGUAAUAUUUUGCUAUGAGCAAUUAAUUUAACCUUCAUCAAAUAAAAUCAUUGUUGUUGUUAUUUUAAAAUACACUUUGCUCAGACUAUUAAAUUGCCC